GCCGGGCAUGGUGGUGGGCGCCUGUAAUCCCGGCUACUCAGGAGGCUGAGGUAGGAGAAUUGCUUGAGCCCAGGAGGCAGAGGUUGCAGUGAGCUGAGAUCACACCACUGCACUCCAGCCUGAGCGACAGAGCAAGACCCUAUCUCAA
RNAcentral lists this non-coding RNA (148 nucleotides) under Chlorocebus sabaeus (green monkey). The record is from Rfam by way of RNAcentral. Lineage: Eukaryota; Metazoa; Chordata; Mammalia; Primates; Cercopithecidae.